GACGAACGCUGGCGGCGUGCUUAACACAUGCAAGUCGAGCGGUAAGGCCCUUUCGGGGGUACACGAGCGGCGAACGGGUGAGUAACACGUGGGUGACCUGCCCUCAGCUCUGGGAUAAGCCUGGGAAACCGGGUCUAAUACCGGAUAUGACUCCAUGACGCAUGUUGUGGGGUGGAAAGCCUUGUGCGGCUGAGGAUGGGCCCGCGGCCUAUCAGCUUGUUGGUGGGGUGAUGGCCUACCAAGGCGACGACGGUAGCCGGCCUGAGAGGGCGACCGGCCACACUGGGACUGAGACACGGCCCAGACUCCUACGGGAGGCAGCAGUGGGGAAUCUUGCGCAAUGGGCGAAAGCCUGACGCAGCGACGCCGCGUGAGGGAUGACGGCCUCGG
RNAcentral lists this ribosomal RNA (390 nucleotides) under uncultured bacterium. RNAcentral's name for it is "bacterial SSU rRNA". It matches the Rfam family "Bacterial small subunit ribosomal RNA", at positions 28 to 420 of the family's 1533-position model. The record is from RNAcentral.